Molecule: microRNA precursor, 62 nt
Filed under: Podarcis lilfordi (Lilford's wall lizard)
Lineage: Eukaryota; Metazoa; Chordata; Lepidosauria; Squamata; Lacertidae
Source: RNAcentral
UGCAUGUGUGUGUGUGUGUGUGUGUGUGCGCGCACACACACACACACACACACACAGGCUCU